This 90-nucleotide small nucleolar RNA is filed under the name Oryza meridionalis. Its description in RNAcentral is "snoRNA snoF1_F2". The record is from RNAcentral. Lineage: Eukaryota; Viridiplantae; Streptophyta; Magnoliopsida; Poales; Poaceae.
CAAUGCCAUCUGGUAUGUGACACGUGGUCUUCUUUUGUGACUAUUUGUCUCGAAACAUGGCAUAAAUAAUUUACUCUGGCUUGUAAAAGU